This is a long non-coding RNA of Homo sapiens (human), 291 nucleotides long. RefSeq lists it as uncharacterized. NCBI's taxonomy places the organism in Eukaryota, Metazoa, Chordata, Mammalia, Primates, Hominidae. The transcript is spliced from 3 exons. The record is from RefSeq and is a predicted model, not a curated record.
AAUCUGACUCAGUUGGCAUCACUAAAUUUUUGUUGAAUGAAUGAAAGAAAUAUCCAAACUCACCUGGAUUGAAGAAUAAAUGAGGGAAACUUCCAACUUCCUCUCCCUCUGGCUUCACAACUACAGAGACCACCUUCCAUACCCUUAGACUCAAGUUUUCUGUUUAACAACCUGCUUCUGUUAUCACAGGAAAAGAUGCUCCUUUAAGUCAUCAUUCCUUGGAUCCAAGGUUGCUACACAUACAUUUCUUCUAGAAACUCAGAAAAAAAGAGAAGAGAGUGGAGAACAUGA